GAGGGAGGUCGCUCAGCCGGUGUUAAGGCCGACGUGACCGGAGGGAGGUCGCUCAGCCGGUGUUAAGUGGGUUUGGGUUCGUGGCUUCUUUUUUUUAAAACAUUUUAAAUUUUAUUAGGAUAAAAUAUAUAUAACAUAAAGUUUGCCACUUUAGCCAUUUUUAAGCGUACAAUUCAGUGACGUUAACUACAUCCACAGUGCUGUGCAACCUUCACCGAAAGUAUUCCAUCACCCUAAACAGAAACUCAGCACCCCUUACGGAAUAGGUCCCCAUUCUGCACUCCCCACGGCGCCUGGUGAUCACUAACCUACCUUUUUAUUGUGCUUUAGGUGAAAGUUUGCAGAGUAACGUAGUUUUCCACUCGAUAUUUUGUACAUAAAGUGUUUCAUGGUCUUGGUUUCAUUUCCCGUAAUAUGUCAGCACUCUCCCCGCUUCCGCCGUGGUUCCUCAUUUUCUUUUGUGCUGAUUAUCUACUCCUUCCUGCCUUCUCAUCUUAUAACUGAUUGUUCUAAGGAGUACGUUCCUCUUGAGUGUUAUUGUUUAUCUUACGUGCUUGUCUAUUGUUUGGCUGGGAGGUGGUCUCCGGGAACAGCUUCAUUUCCAGGUCAGAAGGGUGCUUUAAGCCAUAGUCUCGUAGGUUCCUCUAGUCUCUGUCAGAUUGGCAAGCCUGGUCUUUUUUGUGAAUUUGAUUUUUCCUUGUUGUUGUUCUACAAUUUUCUCCCACUUUGUACAGGUCCCUCUGUUGUGAUCCCCUUCAGAGCGGUUGGUAGUGGUAACCAGGCACCAUCUAGUUCUUCUGGUCUCGGGUCCUGUAGGUUGUGGUUAGUGUGGUUCCUUUGGACCAAUUGCUCCCUUGAGUCUUUGCUUCUCUUUCACUCUUCCUCACUCUGGACAGGAAGAGACCGAUAAUUACAUGGCUGUUCAUAAGCUUUUAAGGCCCCAGACGUUACUCACCGAAGUAGGAUGCAGAACAUUGACGUUACAUACUGUGUUGUUGUGUUGACGUAGAUGUCCCCGAGCCUAUGGUCCUUUGUCUCCUAGCCUAGGAACUUCAUCCUGCGAGGUUUUUGGUUAUGUCUUAGAGGUUUCUCAAAACAUCCACCACCAAACCUGUAUUUGCUGGUGGGUGUGUUCCACUACACCUCCUGACAUAUCUAUUUGUCCAUUCGGAAAUUAUUGUUUGUUAAUACUAUUGCUGCAGGAUUGUCUUAGCUGUAGUAGUUACCUACCCCAGUGCCCCAGUGCUGUUGAGUCGAUUCCGACUCAUAGGGAGUGUUGAGUACUUACUGUAGCUGCCCUUUAUUCUCUUUAUUCUUGUGUUCCUAUCAGUGUCCUCUUUUGCAUUGGUCAUGUUGUACUGGCUUCCCCCAUAUUAUGUAUUGCCUUUCCUUUCACCUAUAUUAACUUGUGUCUUCUAUCCAAUUGGUAAUUUUCCCUCCCUUCCCCUCUGUGAGGAAACCCUGGUAGUGGAGUGGUUAAGUGCUACGGCUGCUAACCAAGAGGUUGGUAGUUCGAAUCCACUAGGUGCUCCGUGGAAACUCUAUGUGGGCAGUUCUGGUCUGUCCUAUAGGGUCAGUGUCUUAGUUACCUGGUGUUGCUAUAACAGAAAUACCACAAGUGGAUGGUUUUAACGAAGAGAAAUUUAUUUCUUCACAGUAAAGCAGGCUAAAAGUCCGAAGUCAAGGUGUCAGCUCCAAGUUCUUGGGACUUGAGCUAGCAGCUCACCUGCUGACCUUGGGAUUCGUUGAUCUUCACAGCCUGUGAGCAAGAGCCCUGCUCUCCGACCUGCCGAUCAGUUUUGUCUUUUCACCAGCCCCUACUGCUACGUGAAUCAGGAGGAGCCUCUAUCCUGACCCACAGACUUGGGACAUUCCAGCCUCUAGAAACAACUUUCACAUGCAAGAAUACCAAAGAAGAAUUGACGCCUUUGAACUGUGGUGUUAGUGGAGAAUAUUGAAUAUAUCAUGGACUGCCAAAAGAACGAACAAAUCUGUCUUGGAAGAAGUGCAGCCAGGAUACUCCUUAGAAGCAAGGAUGGCAAGACUGCAUCUUACAUACUUUGGACAUGUUGUCAGGAGGGAUCAGUCCCUGAAGAGGGAAAUCAUGCUUGGCAAAGUACUGGGUCAGCAGAAAAGAGGAAGACUCUCAAUGAGGUGGAUUGACAUGGUAGCUCCAACAAUGAGCUCAAGCAUAACAACGAUUGUAAGGUUGGCACAGGACUGGGCAGUGUUUCGUUCUGUUGUGCACAGGGGCGCUGUGAGUCAGAACCAACUCAAUGGCACCUAACAACAACAACAACAACAUCCCAUUGUGUGGAUGUACCACAGCUUGUUAAUCCAUUCAUCUGUUGAUGGACACUUAGGUUGUUCCUUUUUUUAUAUUGUGAAUAAUGUUACAAUGAACAUGGGUGUAUGUAUUUCUAUUCAUGCCAUGGCACCUAUUUCUUUAGGGUAUCUACCUAGAAGUGGGAUUGGGGGAUCAUAUGGUACUUCUAUUUCUAGCUUUUUGAGGAAGAGCCAUACCGUUUUCCAAAGUGGUUAUACUAUUUUACAUUCCCGUCAACAGUGUGUAAGAGUUCCAAUCUCUCCACAACCACGCCAACAUUUGUUAUUUCUGCUUCUUUUUAUUAGUGCCAGUAAUAGCAAGGUGAGAUGGUAUCUCACUGUAGUUUUGAUUUGUAUCUACUAGCUAUAAGGCCUCUAUGAGUUGGAAUUGACUUAAUGGCAAUGAGUUUGGUUUUUGGCUUUUUUUAAUAGCUAAUGUUUGUUAGCCGCCUGAAUGUCUUUUUUGAUGAAGUGUCUGUUAGUAUCCUUUGCCUAUUUUUUAAUUGGAUUGUUUGUCUUUUUAUUGUUGAAGUUUUCUAUAAAUUUUAGAGACUAGUCCCUUGACUAAUCUACUUUUUUCUCUUCACAUUUGCCUAUUCUAGAAAUUUCAUAUAAGUGGGAUCAUACAAUGUUUGCCCCUUUGUGUCUGCCUUAUUUCACUUGGCAUAAUGUUUUCAAGCUUCCUUUGUAUUGUAGCAUAUAUCGAACUUCAUUUCUCUUUAUGACUGAGUAGUAUGUCGUUGUGUGUAUAUACCACAUUUUGUUUAUCCAUUCAUCUAUUGAUGGACACUAGAGUUGUUUCCAUCUUUUGGCUACUGUGAAUAGAGCUGCAAAGAACAUUGGUGUACAUGUGUCUGUUUGAGUCCUUGCUUUCAACAAAGCAUGGACUUUUGAAGAUGGUACAGGGCAGAGCACAACCAGUUCUUCUGGUGGUGGGGGCCUUUAGGAGGUUAUGGGGGAGGCCUGCUGGGACCUGAGCCAUGGGCUUCAGAAGAAGGGCAGCCCUGGGUAGGACCAUGCCUGAACCUGGGGUCUUCUAAGCAGGGGAUAGAAGGAGGAUGGAGAUGUUGGAAAGGGCGUGGGGCAGAGAAGGGUUUACAGGUCCUCAGACAACAAUUGUAUUUUCCUCAGCUGUAAAAUAAGGUGAUUGUCCCUGGACGGCAACCAUCAGCGGUGGGCAGAGGCUUCUAAGGGUCUCAGGCAUCAUGUAGCCAGCGUUGGAGACACGGCUGCCUCCUGGGGCAGGGUCCUGAGCCUUCCCCAGACCAGACAGAGGCCUCAGAGUCCUCCAGCACCUCAUCGGCAGUACUUGUCCCACAGCGUUGCCUGACAGAGAAGGAAGCUGGGGCUCAUGGGUGUACAAAUGACUUGCCCAAGGUCCCAUCGCAGAGCUGCUUUUGGAGCCCAUUUCAUUCUCCAUUAGGCAUGUCUUCACGUACCAGAACCCAGAGGGGAGGGCCAUGACAGGAAGCUCCUGGGCCUUGUGGUGUGAGACUGAGGUCCUGGGAAGGCCCCAGGCCCCCUGUCCUCGAGUCCUCCAUUAGAGAUGAGCUCCCUGGGAGUCGGGGACAAUCCACUAUCCCAUGUUCGGGGGUUAGUUUGUCAUAACAAGGCAAAGAUUGUGUAGAGUCAAAAUUAGCCUUGAAAAUCCCUUAGGAGACGCCUCAGUGGGAUCCUGCAUGCAGCCCCUCAGCCCGCCCCACCCUGACUGAUGUUCCUCCCUCAUUGGCUCAGAUCCCUAGGUCUUUGGUGGACAGCAGACAAAUGUGUCUCGAGGCCACUUUGUAUUAACGUAGCUAUCUGUUAACCUGGGGUUACUCUUUCAAAGGGGGAGAGACGGAGGGCCAGCAGAAGGCAACAGGCUCAGUGUCCCCUUGUCAAGCUCCACACCCUCCUGAGACCCAACUCGCCCCCAGUGCCCUUGAGUCGAUUCCGACUCAUAGCUAACCCUCCUGAGAGGAACUAAAUAUCCCACACUAGCUUGAUCAUCCUUGCUUCUUAUUCGUACUCUUGGUCCAAUGUGUUCAGCUGAAACAGCAUGGGUUCAUGGCCAGGUGGUGCUUGGCUGGCCGCGGUGUCCAGGUGGGUCAGCCAUGCCUCUGCCCAGCAAGCUUCUAGGCAGGUAACUGUCAGGUCGUUUCCAGACUGCAUGGUAGCGUGGGAAAAGGGCAUGGUUCAAAUCCUGGCUUUGCCAUUUCGUGUCCUCCGAAUAGAUUAAGUCUCUUAUCCUCGCUGACCCUCCAGUUUCUUAUUUGUCAAAGAGAAAAAGCAAUAUACUGGAAGAUAAGAUGAAAUUUAUGGAGUGUGAUACAUAACAUAGAGUGUGAUAUGUCACGUAACUGUCAGGAAGAGGUGGUGAGCAUGCGUGCACACACAAAGACACAUGCACACAUGCACACAGGCACACCCGUGCACACACAUGCACACACAUACGCCUCCAGGGCAGGACGCAUGGGGAAAUGGAGAAGGAGGUCAGAGUUUCCAGUGUGCUGGCAGGCAGUUGGAAGGAUGGGUAGGAAUCUGGGGGAGGAGGAUGCUGGAAAGGCUGAUGGAUGGGAGUGCUGCUGAGCCAAGAGGCCCCCAGCCCAGUCCAGGCCCCCAGCCAUACUGGGUGGAAGGUAUCUUGGGAAGUCCAGCCAGCCAGGGAGCAAAGGAGUGGCAAAAGUCCAAACACCAAAGCUGGGCUCGAGGAUUUCGGCCAAACGAAGAGCAGCGGGAAGUGUGUGUGAGUUGAAAGGCCCAGAAACCCCGUGUGUCUGAGAUCCCCGAGGCUUCAGAAGGACCUGGGUUGAGUGCCUGGGAGCCUUCUGGAAUCUGUCCAGACCCCUGCUCAGCUGUCUAUUUGACACAUGUUGGGGGAAGAGAGGAGAGAAAACAGAGGCAGGGGAGGGGAAGCCACGCAGCUGUUCCUGGGCUGGGGGCCUCGGCAAUUUAAGCCAAGCUGCAGGCUGCUGCCAGGCCAGGCUGAGAAGGCCUCUUGGAAGCCGACUUCUGAGGCCCUGGCCCCGCCUCGCCAGCAGCCCCGGGAUUAGCUCAGCAGCCUUCUCUGAGCUCUGAACAUCUGCAGCCUGGAGUCCACUUUCCUGGCUCCAGCCCCGUGGGGCAAUCUCCUGCGAUGACGGGAGGGGAGCAGACAGCUGCGACCUGGAAGGAGGCGUGGGAGGGGCCCCUGACUGUCCUAAAAUUCAGGGAUUAGGGUAUAGCCUCAGUGCAGGAGCUGCCUGGGCCUCGUUCCAGAAAUGCCUUCCCCUUCCCCCCAUCUUGUCAGCCUGAGGGAGAUGGGGGUGAGGUGAAACAGAAGGGAAAUAACAUCUGUACAGCCCCACUAGAUGCCAGGGAGGUGCUGGGCACUUUACUUCAGCCUCAUAACUGUUUCAAGGUUGCUCCUAUUUCCAUCCUUCAUUUGAGGAAACAGGCUCAGAGAGGUUAAGUAACUUGUCCACAGUGACCCAGCUCACUGUGGUAGAGCCAAGAUAAAAACCUAGGUCCAUCUAGUUCUAAAUCCGGAGCCCCCUCUUUUUCUGGAGCCCAAAGAAUUGGAACUAGGCAGGUGAGAAUGGAAACCAGGGCUCAGUGCAAUCACUGGCUAAACUGCUGAAGAAGGAAGGAAGGGACAGCAGGCUUUGCAAGUUGCUCCUGGGGUAUUUUCAGUUCUCAUGCUACACUGUUAUCCGGAAGAAAAGGCUCAGAUGAGAAGCCAACAAACCACAUCACAGGAGGCUAAUUGGAAAAUCCUGGGCUCUCCAGCUUGGCGACCUCACGGAAGAGGCUAGAUUGUUGCUGGCCCUGAGCAAACUAUUUCAGUGGACUCAGUUCAGCCAGGAUAGGCUAGGUUUGCUGCGAUAAUGAACAAUUCCCACAUCUCAGUUUAUUUUUUGCUCACAUCACAUGUUCAGCACAGGCCAACAGGAGGUGCUGCUUGUCCUGGUCACUCAGGGGUCCAAGCCAAGUGGGGCUUCAUGUAGAAUGAGCACCCCCAGCCUCUGCAGCCUUGAAACCGGAAAGAGGUAAACUGCACACUGUCUUUUAAAGCUUCUGCUCACAUUUCAUUGGCCAAAGGAAGUCACAUGGCAACGCCUGACUUCAGGGGCAGUCCCACCCAAUGCUCAGGAGCAGACUGGUCAAAGUUGUAACUGGGACUGUGGGUCAGUGCAUCAGAAAGCAGACCUUAAGUCCCAAUAAGCAGGAUCUUCCCAGUGAAAUAGUACCGUCAACAGAGGUGGCAAGCCACAGCACGAUGGGUACACUGCAGGAAGGUGAUGGAAGAACCUGGGCCAUGGCGGCAGGGUCAUGGGACACGGCCUGUGUAGCCAUACAGGGCAGCGGUGGUCAAGGGCAAGGGCUCUGGAGCCAGAGGCACCUGCAUUCAGAUCCCGUGGUGCUCUCUUGUUGGCUGUGUUCCUUCGUGCAGAUUACCUGAAACCUCUGCGCUCCAUCUCCUCCUCUGUAAGGUGGGGAUAAUAAUGUCAUAGGGUUGUUGUGAGGCUUCAACAAGGCAGUGCACGUAAAGCCUAGAGGACCGUGCCCCAUGCUUGGCACGUGGGAAGCUCUGGUCAAGUCAGUCGCUCUUGUUGUUGUUCUCAGUCCUCCCCAAGGUUCUGUGGCCCUCCCCUCCCAGAAUCCUUGGCUGAGUCCCUUCCUGGGCCUCUCACAUCCCUGGAACGUUAGUCAGCGGCCAGGGCAGGGUAGGGAGAGUCCUGUAUGCUGGCCAAGCAGGCUGAGCUUCCCCACUACUGCUGUCGCACGGUCUACGGAAGGAGGGCGUUUGCCUUCUUAGGAGAGCAGUCCCCUUCUUCAGCUCAUCGCCAGUCUUCCCUGACAACUGCUGAAAAACCUGACUCCUGUCUGUAUUAUUUUGCCAUUUCCUUAAGGUCACAGAAAUGGAGCCAGACGGCAUGGAGAUUUUUUGUCUCUUGAGUUAUCUGCUUUAUUAACCCUUGGACAUAUUACAUGGGAGAUUACCCUUUGCUCUCCUCUCCCUGGAGUCCCUGGGUGGUACAAAUGGUGAAUGUGCUCAGCUCCGAACCAAAAGGUUAGAGGUUCGAGUCCACCUAGAGGUGCCGUGGAAGAAAGUCCUGGCAAUCUACUUUCAAAAAUUCAGCCAUUAAACACCCUGUGGAGCACAGUUCUACUCUGACACACACGGGGUCACCAGGAGUCAGAGUCAACCUGAUGGCACCUGUUUUCUUCUCACUCCCCUCACUCCCUGUCCAGGGAUCACUGGUGUUUCCUUGUUUGUUGCUAUCUUUGUAAUGUGCUCUCAGCUGUAGCAGUACUUCCAGGGGCCCCACUUGCUGAGCUGAAGCUAUCAGUUUUAGAGACAUCAGGAGGAGGUGUGAUAAAGUGAGGUGGUGUGUUUCAGAAAUGGGAGCUGCAGGAGCGCAGAGGAGGGGCAGGAAGUUAGGGGAGCCUUUCGGGAAGAGGCGGGAUUUGAGCUGAGCCUUGUCCAUUUAACGUCUCUGAGGUCAGCUGCUGGCCAGCCCGCUGUGGGUCCUGUCAGCGAGCCCUGCCUGCAGUACCUCACUUCAGACACCAGGGGGAGGGCAAGUGGCUUAGCUGGGGCUGCCUCUGCUCAAUAGCACCCCAGCUGCUCAGCCCUCCCCACUCCUGUCGGUAUAAGCAGGGGCAAGGGGACCCGGCUCUGGGCUCUCAGCUCUCAGCCCUCUACCUCACAGGGGCUUGAACCCAUAAAUGCUAUCUGAAGCUGUGGUUUCUUGGCCUCUGUUCGCUGGUAUUGUCUCAUCUGCGCUCCAGAUUUCUCAAAGCCUGGUCCCUAGGGACCUUGCAUGGGAACGAAACGUGUCUGAAUCAGCUCGUUAAACAUGCAGACUCCCAGGCCCUGCUCCAGGCCCUUUGUGAGGAAAUGGGGCCCAGGAAUCUGUAUGUUUAAUACUCAGCCCACGUUCCUUUCACACACAGGAAAGACUGAGACCCCCAGACUCUAGGCUUUCUAUGACCUGACCCCUCACGUCUCUCCACUCUUCUCUCCCCUGCUCCCCACAGCGGUUUCUGGUAAAGGGUCUGUAAUUCUGAGAAACGUAGCAUACUCGACCACUGGAGAAUCACAGUUCAUGCUGCCAUGUUAAAAGCCCCGGAGCUAAGGGGCCUGUGUGACUUUGUGGAACCAAGCUUUUCCCCAAAUCAUUUGACAGGGGAGCCUGUUCUCCCAUGUUCAUGCCUACUUCACCUCACCUAGCACUAGCUCGCUUGUCACUGCCUGGGCUGAGCUUCUGAGCAAAGGGAACUGAAGUGCUUGGAGAAGAUGAAAAGCCAUUGCAGCUCAAGUCAGAGGCCACCUGGGUUUCCAUCCUCCACCCAUUCUGCCCAGGGUUUCCUAGACUUUGGAAUUUCAAGGUCCUGCAAGCAAUUCCCCCGAUACGGAGGGCCAAAGUAGGGUUCCCAAUUUUUACUUUGUCGAGAAUCCCAUUAAUGUAUCAGGUAACCUGUACUUUGGUUUUCCCAAAGUGUGGUUCCUGGACCCUUUGGAUGUGAAUCACCCAUUAUUUUAUAAAAUCAUUUAAAUACAAAUUCUGACAUCAAUAUUUUAUCUUAGUGCCAAAACAAGUAAAAGGAAUUGAAUUUCAGAAGAAAGGAGAGCCCUUAAAUUAAUAAAUUUAACUUCAUGGGAGCUCACUAUGGAAUCCUCACUUUUCUAGCUUGUGUGUUUGGGCCGGGGCUUGGGAAUAAGCUGAUAUUGAACAUCUGCUCUGAGCAUAGCUCCACGCUGGGGGCUGUGUUGUGAUUAAAAUACCAAGGCUAAGUGUCAGUACUGGAUUUUUACUACAUAUUUCAUAUAAUACCCAGACCUGAUAUUUUAAGUGAAAAGAAGGCAUUGUUGCAAUUAUUUCCUAUACUUGGUCUUCAUGCUAUUUUGCGGAUUAUUGUAGCUAGCCGCCACCAAGUCAGCUCCUGGCUCGUGGCGACCCCAUGAACAAUGGGAUUGGACUGUUGCGAUCCGUGGCUUUCAUUGGUUGAUUUUUUCAUAGAUUACCAAGCCUUUCUUCCUGCUCUGUCUUAGUCUGGAAGCUCUGCUGAAGCCUGUUCACCAUAAUAGCAACAUGCAAGCCUCCACUGACAGAUGGGUGGUGCCUGCACUUAAGAUGCAAGAAUUGAGGGGGUAGGAAAAUUUAAGAAAGCAAUAUCAUCUUCAGCUUCAUACAUGGUGUCUACUGUGAGGAUUGGAAUGGAUCUAGAGUCUGUGGCAGUGGUAGGCUCUGCCUUUUGGGCAGCAUGGUCAGGAUGGUGGAGGUUGGGAACCUGAAUGAUGGAGGGAAGGAGAGAAGGAGCCAGAAAUGCCCUCUCCAGAAGAUAAGCCCUGGAAAGGUUAGGAAGUGGCCUUCAUAUCUCCAAAGAACUGAUCCAGGAAGCAGUAUGCUGUCUGACACUCUGAGACCCUAGAAAGAGGAACUAGGACCAAUGGAGAGAAGUUAAAAAUUUAAGCAUAAUAGAGCUUAGGAAUCAGAGAUGCCUAAAUAUAGAAAGUGAGCUUCUCAUCACUGGGUGUAUGAAAAUAGAGUUCAGACAGUCAUUAGUCUGAGAGGUAGUGGAAAGGAUUACUACAUUUAAGUAAAAUUAAUUAAAAAUGAUUUUAUAUUUAUAGUACUUUACAUGUAACAAGUUACUUUGGUAUAACUGUGUUUCAAAAUAGUGUUGAGAGAUAAAUAAAGAUUUGUUCUGACUUCAGAUUCAACAUGGCAGUGAACAAAACAAAAAUCCUUGCCUUUGUGGAGUUCACAGUAUAGAGAUUCCAUAGAUUUUAUGUUAUCCUUGAGACAUUGGAAGAAUUUAUGGACAGAGUAAAAAAAGACAAUAUAAGUACAAAAAAAAAAGGCAAUUAUAAACUCCAAGAAAAAAAGAAGGGCAAGAAAAACAAGGCAAUGUAAUCAUAGCAUACUAUUGAUUGCACAGUAAACAAUAUUUAUAUAGUCAUAAGAAUGUAAACACUGUCUGUUUUUAAUUUUUAGAAUCAACCUAUAGGUAAAGCAUAGAAACUUAAUGAUAAAGGCCAGAAUGUAAAUAUUAACAACCUUGGCAAUAUAAAAAUAAAUGUAUACAACACAGAUGAACCUUGAAAACGUUAUGCUGAGCAAAAUCAAUCUCAAAAGAACAAAUACUGUAUGAUCUCACUUAUAUGAAAUAAGCAAAUAUAUAGAAACCAAAAAUCAUUAAUAGUUACCGCAGUGGGAUGGAUGGGGAACAGGAAAGUUUUUGCUUGGGAGGUAUUGAGUUUCUGUUAAUGGUGGUGGAAUACUUUUUUUUUUUUUUAACUUUUAUUGUGCUUUAAGUGAAAGUUUACAAAUCAAGUCAGACUCUCAUACAAAAAUUUGUAGAUAACUUGCUAUGUACCCUAACUGCUCUCCCCCUAAUGAGAUGAGAUAGCACCCUCUUUCCCUCCACUCUCUCUUUUCAUGUUUAUUCGGCCAGCUUCUGACCCCCUCUACUCUCUCAUCUCACCUUCAGAUGGGAGCUGCCCACAUAGUUUCAUGUGUCUACUGGAUCCAAAAAGCUCAUUCUUUACCAGUAUCAUUUUCUAUCCCAUAGUCCAGUCCAAUCCCUGUCUGAAGAGUUGGCUUUGGGAAUGGUUCCUGUCUUGGACUAACAGAAGGUCUGGGGACCAUUACCUCUGGGGUCCUUCUAGUCUUAGUCAGACCAUUAAGUCUGGUCUUUUUACAAGAAUUUGGGGUCACAUCCCACUGCUGUCCUGCUCCCUCGGGGGUUCUCAUUUGUAUUGCCGGUCAGGGCAGUCUUCCGUUGUAACCAGGCACCAUCUAGUCUCUGCUUUAUGUGUCUCUUUCUGCCUCUUGGGCUCACAAUUACCUUGUGUCUUUGGUGUUCUUCAUUCUCCUUUGAUCCAGGUGGGUCAAGACCAAUGGAUGCAUCUUAA
Molecule: long non-coding RNA, 11209 nt
Organism: Loxodonta africana (African savanna elephant)
Lineage: Eukaryota; Metazoa; Chordata; Mammalia; Proboscidea; Elephantidae
Exons: 3
Source: RefSeq, a predicted model, not a curated record